Molecule: ribosomal RNA, 427 nt
Filed under: uncultured bacterium
Lineage: Bacteria
Description: partial 16S ribosomal RNA
Rfam family: Bacterial small subunit ribosomal RNA
Source: RNAcentral
UGGGGAAUAUUGCACAAUGGGCGCAAGCCUGAUGCAGCCAUGCCGCGUGUAUGAAGAAGGCCUUCGGGUUGUAAAGUACUUUCAGCGGGGAGGAAGGCGAUGCGGUUAAUAACCGCGUCGAUUGACGUUACCCGCAGAAGAAGCACCGGCUAACUCCGUGCCAGCAGCCGCGGUAAUACGGAGGGUGCAAGCGUUAAUAGGAAUUACUGGGCGUAAAGCGCACGCAGGCGGUCUGUCAAGUCGGAUGUGAAAUCCCCGGGCUCAACCUGGGAACUGCAUCCGAAACUGGCAGGCUUGAGUCUCGUAGAGGGGGGUAGAAUUCCAGGUGUAGCGGUGAAAUGCGUAGAGAUCUGGAGGAAUACCGGUGGCGAAGGCGGCCUCCUGGACGAAGACUGACGCUCAGGUGCGAAAGCGUGGGGAGCAAACA